CCUACGGGAGGCAGCAGUGAGGAAUAUUGGUCAAUGGGCGGGAGCCUGAACCAGCCAAGUCGCGUGAGGGAAGACGGUCCUAUGGAUUGUAAACCUCUUUAGGCGGGGAGCAAUGCCGGGCACGGGUGCCCGGAGGGAGAGUACCCGCAGAAUAAGCAUCGGCUAACUCCGUGCCAUCAGCCGCGGUAAUACGGAGGAUGCGAGCGUUAUCCGGAUUGAUUGGGUUUAGAGGGUGCGUAGGCGGAUUUUUAAGUCAGCGGUAAAAUGUCCGGGCUCAACCCGGGCCGGCCGUUGAAACUGGGGAUCUUGAGUGGGCGAGAAGUAUGCGGAAUGCGUGGUGUAGCGGUGAAAUGCAUAGAUAUCACGCAGAACUCCGAUUGCGAAGGCAGCAUACCGGCGCCCGACUGACGCUGAGGCACGAAAGCGUGGGGAUCGAACAGGAUUAGAUACCCGAGUAGUC
This 460-nucleotide ribosomal RNA is filed under the name uncultured bacterium. RNAcentral's name for it is "partial 16S ribosomal RNA". It matches the Rfam family "Bacterial small subunit ribosomal RNA", at positions 338 to 795 of the family's 1533-position model. The record is from RNAcentral.